UGUUCACGUUGAGAGCAGCUCGAUUUCUUUUUCCACGAGAUUCCAACCAGCCAAAGGAAAGCAGCACUGACAGCAAGAGCCCUGUGUGGCAGGAGCUGCUUUUGGUUUAGGGAAGACAAGCCUAUUCCCUUUUUUAAACAAAUAACAAUAUUUCUGGUUUGAACACACUCUUCAGCCUGGCAAAGCCUUGAAGAAGUGCAGCCACACAGUCUGAAGCUUCUCAAAUCUCCAGAAUCUCAGCGGUUGCAGAUUGAGAGCUAAAACUGAAGGUUGCAGUGAGGGGGUGCCAAGACAGAUGAAGUGCUUCCUACCUGGUUGAGGAGGAGGACUUCCUACCUGGGACUGCUAACUUAGAAAACGGAGAUCGCUUUCUGAAGUGGAUCAUUCUACAGAAGGCUUGGUUUCCCAGACACUGAAGCGCUUGGUCUCUGCUUGCAGCCUGACUUUCAUAGUGAGAUACAGUGAAAACUGUGAAGUAGAAUCCCACAUUAUAUGGU
Molecule: long non-coding RNA, 497 nt
Organism: Pristis pectinata (smalltooth sawfish)
Lineage: Eukaryota; Metazoa; Chordata; Chondrichthyes; Rhinopristiformes; Pristidae
Exons: 5
Source: RefSeq, a predicted model, not a curated record